GUAAAUUUUCAUGUUUAUGUUCAUUGAUAUGUUAGAUAAGAUUGUGUUACUUGUCAUAUCAGAUUUUUCCAUUAGAAAACUUUUUCAUAUUUUUCUAUCAAAAGUUAGAUAUAACCAAUUGUAAAAAGUUAUGGUUCCAAAGUAUCAGUUUGUAUCAUAUAUGUACUAUUAAAAUGACAACUUUUACAUUGAACUGUAUACAGAGGGCUAUAAAUUGAAAUUACAAGUAAUCCACAAGGCCAUUAAUAAUAUAGGAACUGCUUUAUUUAUUAAGAUGCAUGCAUGCAUGGUUAUAAAGUUUUGAAAGUUGUGACUCAAUUAUUUUGUUUAUUUGAAAGAUUCACCGGUUACUCGGUAAACAUGAGUAAUGACUGACCUGAUGACCACCACAAAGUUUACAUUAUAUGCAUUGUUUUGUUUUAUAAAUAAGAUGUGAGCGACAACCCACUUAAACAAUUAUUUUGGAUAAAAUACCCAAAAAAAUUAGAAGCUAACAUUUUUUUAUUUGUUUUAAGAAGGGGUUCAUCUCUCAUAGAUUAUUUUUAAUGACAUCCUAUUAAAUUGAGAUACGUUAAUCAUUUGAAGAAUAAAUCUAAAAAUUUAACAAAUAUUUUGAAAUAUUAUUCAUAUCUCAAAGACUAAAUUAGUAAUUUUAUAUUGGUAAUUUUGCCAUGUUUUGACAUUUUCAAAUCUAACGGUCACAAACACAUGGUUUAAGAAUGCUGAUUAUUUUAAAAUGUUACCUUUUAUGAAAAUUCCAUAAAUUGCUGCUGAAACAAACAAAUUAAAAGUUGAUGAGAGUAUAGCCUUCAAUGUAGUGAAUCAAAUCUAAGAUAUUUUUAGACUAUAACUCUUUCUUACAUGAAUAACAUUGUAUUUGAAAAUGGUAAAUGACAACGGGUAAACAGAUUGAAAUAUAAUGAAUAUAUAAUGAAUUAUCAUUGUUAUGAAAUUGUAGAUCAUACAUCUAUUUAUUUUGGUUGUAGUAAGGAAAUGAUAUUAUUAUAUUUAUAACAAGGAAUUAGUGUUUUAUUGCCUGUAUUGUUAUUAUA
This 1052-nucleotide long non-coding RNA is filed under the name Mytilus galloprovincialis (Mediterranean mussel). The record is from RNAcentral. Lineage: Eukaryota; Metazoa; Mollusca; Bivalvia; Mytilida; Mytilidae.